RNAcentral lists this ribosomal RNA (433 nucleotides) under uncultured bacterium. Its description in RNAcentral is "partial 16S ribosomal RNA". It matches the Rfam family "Bacterial small subunit ribosomal RNA", at positions 29 to 507 of the family's 1533-position model. The record is from RNAcentral.
AAUGAACGCUGGCGGCAUGCCUAACACAUGCAAGUCGAACGAGACAUUCGGGUCUAGUGGUGCACGGGUGCGUAACGCGUGGGGAAAUGCCCAUAGGUCCGGAAGAAAUCCCCGAAUGGGGUGCUGAAACCGGAUCUAGUAUCCGGUACAAAGGUUUAUCGAAAUUGGUUGGGCUCGGGUUGGCUUGGCAAGUUGGUAGGGUAAAAGCCUACAAAGGGGUCGAUCCAUAGCUUGUUUGAGAGGACGAUCAACCACACUGGGACUGAGACACGGCCCAGACUCCUACGGGAGGCAGCAGUGGCGGAUAUUGGACAACGGGCGAAGGCCUGAUCCUGCACUGCCUCUUGAGCGAUUAAGGCCUUAGGGUUGUAAAGCUCGUUUACCCGUUAUUAUAAUGACAGUACCGGGAGAAUAAGCACCGGCUAACUCCGUG